This 449-nucleotide ribosomal RNA is filed under the name uncultured bacterium. Its description in RNAcentral is "partial 16S ribosomal RNA". It matches the Rfam family "Bacterial small subunit ribosomal RNA", at positions 328 to 792 of the family's 1533-position model. The record is from RNAcentral.
UGUCCAGACUCCUACGGGAGGCAGCAGUGGGGAAUAUUGCACAAUGGGGGGAACCCUGAUGCAGCGACGCCGCGUGGGCGAGGAAGUAUUUCGGUAUGUAAAGCCCUAUCGGCAGGGAAGAAGAAAUGACGGUACCUGAAUAAGAAGCACCGGCUAAAUACGUGCCAGCAGCCGCGGUAAUACGUAUGGUGCAAGCGUUAUCCGGAUUUACUGGGCGUAAAGGGGGCGCAGACGGCAGCGCAAGCCAGGAGUGAAAGCCCACGGCCCAACCGUGGGACUGCUCUGGAAACUGUGCGGCUUGAGUGCGGGAGGGGCAGGCGGAAUUCCUAGUGUAGCGGUGAAAUGCGUAGAUAUUAGGAGGAACACCGGCGGCGAAGGCGGCCUGCUGGACCGUAACUGACGUUGAGGCUCGAAAGCGUGGGGAGCAAACAGGAUUAGAUACCCUGGUA